CCUACGGGUGGCAGCAGUGGGGAAUAUUGGGCAAUGGGCGCAAGCCUGACCCAGCAACGCCGCGUGAAGGAAGAAGGCUUUCGGGUUGUAAACUUCUUUUAUUGAGGACGAAACAAAUGACGGUACUCAAUGAAUAAGCCACGGCUAACUACGUGCCAGCAGCCGCGGUAAUACGUAGGUGGCAAGCGUUAUCCGGAUUUACUGGGUGUAAAGGGCGUGUAGGCGGGACUGCAAGUCAGAUGUGAAACCCAUGGGCUCAACCCAUGGCCUGCAUUUGAAACUGUAGUUCUUGAGUGAUGGAGAGGCAGGCGGAAUUCCGUGUGUAGCGGUGAAAUGCGUAGAUAUACGGAGGAACACCAGUGGCGAAGGCGACUAUCUGGCACAUAACUGACGCUGAGGAGCGAAAGCGUGGGUAGCAAACAGGAUUAGAUACCCCGGUAGUC
RNAcentral lists this ribosomal RNA (443 nucleotides) under uncultured bacterium. RNAcentral's name for it is "partial 16S ribosomal RNA". It matches the Rfam family "Bacterial small subunit ribosomal RNA", at positions 338 to 795 of the family's 1533-position model. The record is from RNAcentral.